UGUUGCUAGGAUGUAAGAGCCAUCACUGU
This 29-nucleotide non-coding RNA is filed under the name Mus musculus (house mouse). The record is from RNAcentral. Lineage: Eukaryota; Metazoa; Chordata; Mammalia; Rodentia; Muridae.